This 490-nucleotide ribosomal RNA is filed under the name uncultured bacterium. RNAcentral's name for it is "partial 16S ribosomal RNA". It matches the Rfam family "Bacterial small subunit ribosomal RNA", at positions 29 to 507 of the family's 1533-position model. The record is from RNAcentral.
AGUGAACGCUGGCGGCAGGCCUAAUACAUGCAAGUCGAACGGCAGCACAGCAGAGCUUGCUCUGUGGGUGGCGAGUGGCGGACGGGUGAGGAAUACAUGGGAAUCUGCCCAGUCGUGGGGGAUAACGUAUGGAAACGUACGCUAAUACCGCAUGCGCCCUUUGGGGGAAAGCCGGGGACCUUCGGGCCUGGCGCGAUGGGAUGAGCCCAUGUUCGAUUAGCUAGUUGGCGGGGUAAAGGCCCACCAAGGCGACGAUCGAUAGCUGGUCUGAGAGGAUGAUCAGCCACACUGGAACUGAGACACGGCCCAGACUCCUACGGGAGGCAGCAGUAGGGAAUAUUGGACAAUGGGCGCAAGCCUGAUCCAGCCAUGCCGCGUGAGUGAAGAAGGCCCUCGGGUUGUAAAGCUCUUUUGUCCGGAAAGAAAAGCAUUCGGUUAAUACCCGGGUGUUCUGACGGUACCGGAAGAAUAAGCACCGGCUAACUUCGUG